GACGAACGCUGGCGGCGUGCCUAAUACAUGCAAGUAGAACGCUGAAGAGAGGAGCUUGCUCUUCUUGGAUGAGUUGCGAACGGGUGAGUAACGCGUAGGUAACCUGCCUUGUAGCGGGGGAUAACUAUUGGAAACGAUAGCUAAUACCGCAUAACAAUGGAUGACCCAUGUCAUUUAUUUGAAAGGGGCAAAUGCUCCACUACAAGAUGGACCUGCGUUGUAUUAGCUAGUAGGCGAGGUAACGGCUCACCUAGGCGACGAUACAUAGCCGACCUGAGAGGGUGAUCGGCCACACUGGGACUGAGACACGGCCCAGACUCCUACGGGAGGCAGCAGUAGGGAAUCUUCGGCAAUGGGGGCAACCCUGACCGAGCAACGCCGCGUGAGUGAAGAAGGUUUUCGGAUCGUAAAGCUCUGUUGUAAGUCAAGAACGAGUGUGAGAGUGGAAAGUUCACACUGUGACGGUAGCUUACCAGAAAGGGACGGCUAACUACGUG
Molecule: ribosomal RNA, 497 nt
Filed under: uncultured bacterium
Lineage: Bacteria
Description: partial 16S ribosomal RNA
Rfam family: Bacterial small subunit ribosomal RNA
Source: RNAcentral